Molecule: long non-coding RNA, 1139 nt
Filed under: Brachypodium distachyon (stiff brome)
Lineage: Eukaryota; Viridiplantae; Streptophyta; Magnoliopsida; Poales; Poaceae
Description: long non-coding RNA (BDIS_LNC002342)
Source: RNAcentral
UGGGCCAAACUAUAAUUUGCCAACGGGCUGGCCCGGCUCGGGAUAAACGGGCACGGCCCGAUGAAGCCUGACAAUAGAGGGGCCGGGCCAGGCCGGCACCAAAACUCUUCCUCCAUGCCCAGGUGCAACAUCGAGCCCGGACGGGCUGGCCUAGGCCUGUUAAGCCCAACGGGCCCAGCAAAAAAUAAAAAAUGGGCCAAAACCGGUAGAAAUGAUGGGCCAAAUGUAAAAAUGAGUUGGGUUGGGUCAGAAUUGAGAAAGUUAAUGGGCCAAAUGUAUUAAUCCUAAAAAAAGAAAUAUAGAACUGUCCGUGCUGGGUUGGCUAAGACCCGAGGUUGAAUCCUAGGCACGGCAUAGGUGGGGCCUCGGGCCGGCCUGGUCCAAUUAUUUUAUACACAAUACAUAUAUUAUUUUAUACGUUUUUUAGUGUUGUUAAUGCAACAAAAUAUCUUUGCUAAGAAGAGUCUCGUUUGUUAUGUCACAUAUCUAAUUAUGAAGAUGUUUCUACAAUAACAAGAUAUAACUACAUAUUAAUAGUUAUAAAAAUCCGAGUUGACAAUUCAUAUCUAUUUGUUAUAGCCUUCUAUGAAACAUUAGAUUACCAAAAUACAUAGCACAAAGAUCGUCACAAAAAUGCAUGCAGAUUUUGGUGAGGCAUUUACAAAAAAAGUCAUAUAUUUGUCAUUGUUUUCUACUCUAUGAGACUUAUUGCAGCCGUCUGCUUAUGAUUACUCGUAAAUAUUAAAUUAAUUCCCAAAAUUAAUACAAAUUCACAUAUUCAAAUAUUAAACGUUGAAAAAUACAAUGUCAUAAAAAUUAUUAAAAACUAAAAAAAAAUACAUGAAAUAUGGAUAUUAGUUCGACCUACCUCAAAAAUAAAUUGUCCUUCGCCCAUGUACUCAGAUAUGUAUGACUUUUGGUCGAUUUAAUAUCUCCAGUGACCCAAUUCAGAGUGCUUUUGUACUUAUUAAUUUUUUAUAAUGGAGCCCCAAUCUAGCUGAAUCGUUAUUUUACGUGCACACUUCGGCUGUCUAAACAUCUCCACAGGAAUUUACAUCAUCAAUCAACCACUAAUUCAAUUAGUCUAAUUAUUCUAUUAAGGUCCUACAAAUUACUGCUUUUUACUACAAGUUUUGCAC